RNAcentral lists this non-coding RNA (24 nucleotides) under Arabidopsis thaliana (thale cress). Lineage: Eukaryota; Viridiplantae; Streptophyta; Magnoliopsida; Brassicales; Brassicaceae. The record is from RNAcentral.
AGACAUGCCGUUAUCAGUCAUUAA